This 541-nucleotide ribosomal RNA is filed under the name uncultured Gallionellaceae bacterium. Its description in RNAcentral is "bacterial SSU rRNA". It matches the Rfam family "Bacterial small subunit ribosomal RNA", at positions 135 to 671 of the family's 1533-position model. Lineage: Bacteria; Pseudomonadati; Pseudomonadota; Betaproteobacteria; Nitrosomonadales; Gallionellaceae. The record is from RNAcentral.
AGUGGGGGAUAACGWAGCGAAAGUUACGCUAAUACCGCAUAUGCCCUGAGGGGGAAAGGUGGGGAUCGCAAGACCUAUCGCUUUCGGAGUGGCCGAUAUCAGAUUAGCUAGUUGGUGGGGUAAAGGCCUACCAAGGCGACGAUCUGUAGCUGGUCUGAGAGGACGACCAGCCACACUGGGACUGAGACACGGCCCAGACUCCUACGGGAGGCAGCAGUGGGGAAUUUUGGACAAUGGGGGCAACCCUGAUCCAGCCAUGCCGCGUGAGUGAAGAAGGCCUUCGGGUUGUAAAGCUCUUUCAGCCGGAAAGAAAUCGCACCGAUUAAUACUCGGUGUGGAUGACGGUACCGGAAGAAGAAGCACCGGCUAACUACGUGCCAGCAGCCGCGGUAAUACGUAGGGUGCGAGCGUUAAUCGGAAUUACUGGGCGUAAAGCGUGCGCAGGCGGUUUUGUAAGACAGGCGUGAAAUCCCCGGGCUUAACCUGGGAACUGCGUUUGUGACUGCAAGGCUAGAGUAUGGCAGAGGGGGGUAGAAUUCCA